Mytilus trossulus (common blue mussel) is the source of this 257-nucleotide long non-coding RNA. RefSeq lists it as uncharacterized. The transcript is spliced from 3 exons. Lineage: Eukaryota; Metazoa; Mollusca; Bivalvia; Mytilida; Mytilidae. The record is from RefSeq and is a predicted model, not a curated record.
UGGACAAACAGCUUUACAUCAUGCUGCUAAGUAUGGAAAUAUUGAUGUAACAAAAUGUUUAAUAGAUCAAGGAUGCAGUCCUUGGGUGAAAACACAUAAGGGUCAGACUCCUUAUGAUAUGGUAACAAUAUCACCGUUUUGUUCUAAAGAGAAGAAGAAAGAAGUGAUGGACUUCCUUAAGACUGUCAUGUCAAAGACAUCCCCAGAAGUAACUCCUGACACCAAUUUACAGGAACCUGCAGCACCAGUAGUUGAAG